UAUGCCUGCUUCAAUCAAAAAGUACAGCAGAAGUUCCACUCUAUGACUUCAAAGAUUGGAACACGAAAAUGUCAUACAUUCUCCUGUGUCCUCUGAGAACCCUCACUCUUGGAAAAUAUGUUGGAGGAAACCCAAAUAACACCCACAGAGUGAGCACAAGGAAAGCCUUAUAGGUUUCUGAUUGAUAGAAAGGCUGAGGUUCCAGCAGACGGCCAGCACCAACCACCAAGCUUGUGGCCUAUGGAAGAUAAUUGAGAAGGAAGAGACUCCAGAAAGCAGGUCCAGAAACCCUGGAGAACAGUGGCCAUGGGGAAUUUCAGAAAGGAGAGCCGGGGACUGUCUCGACUUUGAGGGAAGUUGUCUCACAGAGACUGGCCAGUAGGAUUUAAUUAUUGUUUUGGUCCAGUGACUGUUGGCUGUUUACCUACUUUUCCUUUGACACAUGAGAAAGGUUUUUGUUUGUUUUUCCCAGAUGCUACGUUUCUCCGCCUGCCUUGCAGUUAGGAGUGGCCAUGUGACUAGUUCAGAUCAAGGGAUGUGAGCAGAAACAAUGCCAGCCACUCCCUGGCUGAGGCUAUUAACCAGGGAGUGUUUCCCCUCCAUGUCCUCUCUUUCCUCAUACCCUGGCUGGGAAAACAAUGAACAAGGCCCUACGGAGGGAUGAAGAUGCAAGAUGGAAGGAGUUUGGGCUCUGAAUGACCAUGUGGGGAAAACCAUACAUAGGCCAGUAAAACUCACUUUGUA
Long non-coding RNA from Symphalangus syndactylus (siamang), 744 nucleotides. RefSeq lists it as uncharacterized. The record is from RefSeq and is a predicted model, not a curated record. Lineage: Eukaryota; Metazoa; Chordata; Mammalia; Primates; Hylobatidae.